CAUAUCAAUAAGCGGAGGAAAAGAAACCAACAGGGAUUGCCUUAGUAACGGCGAGUGAAGCGGCAACAGCUCAAAUUUGAAAGCUGGCUCCUUUGGAGUCCGCGUUGUAAUUUGUAGAGGAUGAUUCGGCAAGGGCUCCCGCCUAAGUCUCCUGGAACGGAGCGUCAUAGAGGGUGAGAAUCCCGUAUGCGGUGGGCUGCCUAAGCCAUGUGAAUCUCCUUCGACGAGUCGAGUUGUUUGGGAAUGCAGCUCUAAAUGGGAGGUAAAUUUCUUCUAAAGCUAAAUACCGGCCAGAGACCGAUAGCGCACAAGUAGAGUGAUCGAAAGAUGAAAAGCACUUUGGAAAGAGAGUUAAAAAGUACGUGAAAUUGUUGAAAGGGAAGCGCUUGCAGCCAGACUUGUCCGCAGUUGCUCAGCCGGUCUCCUGACCGGUGUACUCUUCUGCGGCCAGGCCAGCAUCAGUUCGGGCGGUCGGAUAAAGACCUCGGGAAUGUAGCUCCUCUCGGGGAGUGUUAUAGCCCGGGGUGGAAUGCGGCCAGCCUGGACUGAGGAUCUCGCUUCGGCUAGGAUGCUGGCGUAAUGGCUGUAAG
RNAcentral lists this ribosomal RNA (590 nucleotides) under Botryosphaeria dothidea. RNAcentral describes it as "LSU rRNA". It matches the Rfam family "Eukaryotic large subunit ribosomal RNA", at positions 39 to 644 of the family's 3401-position model. The record is from RNAcentral. Lineage: Eukaryota; Fungi; Ascomycota; Dothideomycetes; Botryosphaeriales; Botryosphaeriaceae.